RNAcentral lists this long non-coding RNA (802 nucleotides) under Aquilegia coerulea. Its description in RNAcentral is "long non-coding RNA (ACOE_LNC000642)". The record is from RNAcentral. Lineage: Eukaryota; Viridiplantae; Streptophyta; Magnoliopsida; Ranunculales; Ranunculaceae.
CCUAAACCAGAGUUGCCAGCAUUACCUUCUGUUCCUACUAUUAUCCCAAGUUUGCCUAAACCGGAGGAAUUGCCAACACUUCCAAAACCUGAAUUGCCACCUCUACCUCAACUUCCUACACUACCUAAACCUGAAUUGCCACCUCUACCUCAACUUCCUACACUACCUAAACCUGAAUUGCCACCUCUACCUCAACUUCCUACACUACCUAAACCUGAGUUGCCAACUUUGCCACCACUUCCGGAAGUCCCCACUUUUCCUAAACUUGUUGAAGUUCCAACGUUGCCAAAGCCUGAAUUGCCCAAGCUUGAAGUACCAAAACUGCCUGAAUUGCCUAUUGUGCCAAAACCUGAGUUGCCACUGCCAUCUCUUCCCAUACCAGAACUUCCUAAAGUGCCUGAAUUGCCACCCCUGCCCAAACCUGAAGUGCCAAUAUCGCCACCCAUGCCAUAAGUUUCUAUGUUGCCUAUUAUAUCCCCACCAUUCGAAAGGACAUACCAUUCCCUUAUCUCAUCCUAUCCCACAACUAUGCCUAAAUAUUUUCUGAUACUCUACUAUUACUUGGAGUUCCACCUUGUAUUGUACGAUGACUUUGAAUCGACAUGAGAAUUAUAUAUAGGGUGUCCUCUGCCCUUUAUUUUUUUUUUUUUAUUACUUUUUUUUUUUUUUUUUGCUUUAUUGAGGAAUGUUUGAUGUGGUGUAAUUUUUUUUUUUUUAAUUUAUCUAUUUUGCAAUUGUUUUUCCUUUUUCUAUAUGAAAAUUCUCGUGUUGCAUGGAUUGUGAAUAUACAUAAGUAUCAAAC